UACGUAGGGGGCGAGCGUUGUCCGGAAUCAUUGGGCGUAAAGCGCGUGUAGGCGGCCCGGUAAGUCCGCUGUGAAAGUCCAGGGCUCAACCCUGGGAUGCCGGUGGAUACUGUCGGGCUCGAGUCCGGAAGAGGCGAGUGGAAUUCCAGGUGUAGCGGUGAAAUGCGUAGAUAUCUGGAGGAACACCAAUGGCGAAGGCAGCUCGCUGGGACGUGACUGACGCUGAGACGCGAAAGCGUGGGGAGCAAACAGG
This 253-nucleotide ribosomal RNA is filed under the name uncultured bacterium. RNAcentral describes it as "partial 16S ribosomal RNA". It matches the Rfam family "Bacterial small subunit ribosomal RNA", at positions 524 to 776 of the family's 1533-position model. The record is from RNAcentral.